AAUGCUGACAUAAGUAACGAUAAAGCGGGUGAAAAGCCCGCUCGCCGGAAGACCAAGGGUUCCUGUCCAACGUUAAUCGGGGCAGGGUGAGUCGACCCCUAAGGCGAGGCCGAAAGGCGUAGUCGAUGGGAAACGGGUUAAUAUUCCCGUACUUGGUGUUACUGCGAAGGGGGGACGGAGAAGGCUAUGUUGGCCGGGCGACGGUUGUCCCGGUUUAAGCGUGUAGGUGUGUGUUCCAGGUAAAUCCGGUUCACUUUAACACUGAGGCGUGACGACGAGGCACUACGGUGCUGAAGCAACAAAUGCCCUGCUUCCAGGAAAAGCCUCUAAGCAUCAGGUAACAUCAAAUCGUACCCCAAACCGACACAGGUGGUCAGGUAGA
RNAcentral lists this ribosomal RNA (382 nucleotides) under Salmonella enterica subsp. enterica serovar Saintpaul. RNAcentral's name for it is "partial 23S ribosomal RNA". It matches the Rfam family "Bacterial large subunit ribosomal RNA", at positions 1293 to 1675 of the family's 2925-position model. Lineage: Bacteria; Pseudomonadati; Pseudomonadota; Gammaproteobacteria; Enterobacterales; Enterobacteriaceae. The record is from RNAcentral.